This 819-nucleotide ribosomal RNA is filed under the name uncultured bacterium. RNAcentral's name for it is "bacterial SSU rRNA". It matches the Rfam family "Bacterial small subunit ribosomal RNA", at positions 9 to 825 of the family's 1533-position model. The record is from RNAcentral.
GAGUUUGAUCAUGGCUCAGGAUGAACGCUAGCGGCAGGCUUAACACAUGCAAGUCGAGGGGUAACAGGGAAGCUCGCUUCUGCUGACGACCGGCGCACGGGUGCGUAACGCGUAUGCAAUCUGCCUCAUACUGAGGGAUAGCCCAGAGAAAUUUGGAUUAAUACCUCAUAGUAUUAUGAUAAGGCAUCUUAUUAUAAUUAAAGGUUACGGUAUGAGAUGAGCAUGCGUCCUAUUAGCUAGUUGGUAUGGUAACGGCAUACCAAGGCAACGAUAGGUAGGGGCCCUGAGAGGGGGAUCCCCCACACUGGUACUGAGACACGGACCAGACUCCUACGGGAGGCAGCAGUGAGGAAUAUUGGACAAUGGAGGGAACUCUGAUCCAGCCAUGCCGCGUGCAGGAAGACUGCCCUAUGGGUUGUAAACUGCUUUUAUACAGGAAGAAACACUCCCUCGUGAGGGAGCUUGACGGUACUGUAAGAAUAAGCAUCGGCUAACUCCGUGCCAGCAGCCGCGGUAAUACGGAGGAUGCAAGCGUUAUCCGGAAUCAUUGGGUUUAAAGGGUCCGUAGGCGGAUUAAUAAGUCAGAGGUGAAAGCCAGCAGCUCAACUGUUGAACUGCCUUUGAUACUGUUAGUCUUGAGUUAUUGUGAAGUGGUUAGAAUAUGUAGUGUAGCGGUGAAAUGCAUAGAUAUUACAUAGAAUACCAAUUGCGAAGGCAGAUCACUAACAAUAAACUGACGCUGAUGGACGAAAGCGUGGGGAGCGAACAGGAUUAGAUACCCUGGUAGUCCACGCCGUAAACGAUGGUCACUAGCUGUUC